AGUGAACGCUGGCGGUAGGCCUAACACAUGCAAGUCGAACGGCAGCACAGUAAGAGCUUGCUCUUACGGGUGGCGAGUGGCGGACGGGUGAGGAAUACAUCGGAAUCUACUUUUUCGUGGGGGAUAACGUAGGGAAACUUACGCUAAUACCGCAUACGUCCUCCGGGUGAAAGCAGGGGUUCUUCGGACCUUUCGCGAUUGAAUGAGCCGAUGUCGGAUUAGCUAGUUGGCGGGGUAAAGGCCCAACAAGGCGACAAUCCGUAGCUGGUCUGAGAGGAUGAUCAGCCACACUGGAACUGAGACACGGUCCAGACUCCUACGGGAGGCAGCAGUGGGGAAUAUUGGACAAUGGGCGCAAGCCUGAUCCAGCAAUACCGCGUGGGUGAAGAAGGCCUUCGGGUUGUAAAGCCCUGUUGUUGGGAAAGAAAAGCAGCAGGUUAAUACCCCGCUGUUCUGACGGUACCCAAAGAAUAAGCACCGGCUAACUUCGUG
This 492-nucleotide ribosomal RNA is filed under the name uncultured bacterium. RNAcentral describes it as "partial 16S ribosomal RNA". It matches the Rfam family "Bacterial small subunit ribosomal RNA", at positions 29 to 507 of the family's 1533-position model. The record is from RNAcentral.